This is an RNA transcript of Pyrus x bretschneideri (Chinese white pear), 2855 nucleotides long. It is a transcript of the gene named probable receptor-like protein kinase At1g11050, with no coding region annotated. The transcript has 2 exons. NCBI's taxonomy places the organism in Eukaryota, Viridiplantae, Streptophyta, Magnoliopsida, Rosales, Rosaceae. The record is from RefSeq and is a predicted model, not a curated record.
UAAAGCUCAUCUCUGAAACUCAGAGGAGGAGUGAAAUAUCAACCCAACUCAGAACUCGAACUCAGCACAGGAAAGUCAGUUCCUUUCUCUCUCUACAACUUCUCUCUCUCUCUGUCUCUCUCUCUACAACUAGAUACAAACACAACCCGCAAUCUGAAGUUUAGGAAUUUAGAAAUUUGAAAAUUUAGAACAGACAGAGAAGAGAUGAUGAAACUUGAAGUUGGGUUUUGGUUGUUUGUCUCUCUACUUUCUCUCUCUACCUUAUCUCCAUCGACAGCAGCUGAAGCACCAGCACCAUCUCCUCCCCCAAGAACAAAUAUAACAACAACAGCAGCAUGCCCAGUGGAUCUGAGCUAUGUCCUAAGAAUCCCCUUCAACUCCUCCACCUGCAAAAACUUCCAACCUCCUUCCAAAACCACACAAAUGGAGUCGGAGGACCUCACCAAGAUCCCCUGCUGCCAAACCCUUUUGUCCCUCUUCGGAAUCUCCCUCGCCCAACACCUCAAAGAAACCUCCCUCUUCCAACUCCCCAACCUCCCCACCUCCAUUUCCUGCCUCCAAAACUUCCAGUCCAAGCUCUCCUCCCUCUCCCUCUCUCCCAAUCUUGUCUCCUACUGCUUUGACCCUCUCCAGUUUGUCAUCUCCCCCAACAUCUGCGCCAAUAUUCAGUCCACCAGUGAUUGGGUCUCCAAGCUUGGCAACUCCACCGUCCUCGACUCCGCCUGCCGCCCUGACCUCUCCGAUCUCUCCUCCUGCGGGGGCUGUGUCGACGCCGGCUUUGCCAUUCAGAAGAUGUUGCUUGCCGCCGAUGGUAACUCUUCUCACACUGAAGACUGUUGGUACUUUACUAUUCUUUAUGCUGCUGGUAUUGUCAAUGAGUUUGGCCCUGAGAGCAAUGGUGUUGUGAACUGUAUAUUUGGGUUGUCUUCCUCCAAUGCGCGUUCGUCGAAAAAGAGCAAUACUGCCCUUGUUUUCGGCCUCACUGGCGCUGGGGUUGCGGUGUUUGUCAUGUCUAGUUUGUUGGGGUUGUACUUUUGGUAUGAUAGAAGGUGGAGGAACAAAAGGAUUAGAGGUUCUCGAAUGGAAUCCGGUUUUGACUUGGAUGAACGAGAUGCCAGGAUUAGAGUGAGACCAAACACCGGUUCAAUUUGGUUUAAAAUUCAGGACCUUGAGAAGGCUACUAAUAACUUUUCACAGAAGAAUUUUAUCGGUCGUGGUGGGUUUGGUGUUGUUUACAAGGGUGUGUUGCAGGACGGGACUACGGUUGCUGUUAAGAAAGUUAUAGAAUCUGAUUUUCAAGGGGAUGCUGAAUUUUGCAAUGAGGUUGAGAUUAUUAGCAAUUUGAAGCACCGGAAUCUUGUCCCGCUUAGAGGGUGUUGUGUGGUCGAGGGGGAAGACAGUUACGAGGAGAAAGGAAGUCACAGAUACCUUGUCUACGAUUACAUGCCGAAUGGGAAUCUAGAUGACCAUCUCUUUAUUUCUCAGCCUAGUAGUCAGAGCGGAAUUGAAAGGAGACCCUUGACUUGGCCUCAAAGAAAGAGCAUAAUCUUGGAUGUAGCCAAGGGUUUAGCUUAUCUUCACUAUGGAGUGAAGCCUGCGAUAUAUCACAGAGAUAUUAAGGCUACAAAUAUACUACUAGAUGCCGAUAUGAGAGCGAGGGUGGCGGACUUUGGGCUUGUAAAACAGAGCAUGGAAGGCCAGUCUCAUCUCACUACUAGAGUGGCAGGGACUCAUGGAUACUUAGCCCCUGAAUAUGCUCUUUAUGGACAGCUGACCGAGAAGAGCGAUGUUUAUAGCUUUGGAGUGGUUAUUUUGGAGAUUAUGUGUGGGAGAAAGGCACUUGAUUUGUCAUCUUCGGGUUCCCCUCGUGCUUUUUUGAUCACAGAUUGGGCUUGGUCAUUAGUGAAAUCUGGAAAAGCUGAGCAAGCUUUAGACUUCUCGUUGGUUAGAGAUGGGGAUAAUGCGAAUUCGAAUCCAAAGAGCAUAAUGGAGAGAUAUUUGCUGGUCGGCAUUUUGUGUGCUCAUGUAAUGGUGGCUUUACGGCCUACCAUUUUGGAAGCUCUGAAAAUGCUGGAGGGAGAUGUUGAGGUGCCACAGAUUCCAGAUAGGCCGAUGCCUCUUGGUCAUCAUUCAAGUUAUGGCAAUGGCAACGGUAACACGUUCAGCAUAUCACCAGCUUUGAGCGGGCCAAAAUUACACAGCGGAGACAUGCUCAGGUAAUCUAGAAAGAUUUGCGAUUCUUUAGUUUGUACAUUGCCUCGAAGGAUGUAAAGAAUGAGAAGCAUGUUCAUGGAAGACCCUCCAGUCCAUGAGUUCAUUCAAGGUUUAGCAGAGAGUGAAGCACUUCAGGGGCUCUGACCGUCUGAGUCCUUGGGAGAUUCUUAAAGCUCGAAAAAAAUUUCAGUAUGGCAGUAACACGACCUAGUUUAUCAAACGCAACCUAAUUUAUCAAGUGUAAUAAUAUAAGAGGUUGGAAUUUUUCAGUGGGCCAUGUUCUCGACACACUCAACAAUCUCUCUUACCGCUCUGACGUGUUUAUCAGUUCAAGAGCGUAUGUACAUGGUUUUGGUGAAAUUUUGAUCUAUAUUUGUAUAGUAAUAGUAAGAUAAAUAGUAAAUACCUAUUAUCUUGGAACUGUAGGGCCGGGUAAUUUUGUUGUUUCGUUUCCUUGCAUGUAAUACGUUUUUGUGGGCAACUUGUAACCCAAGUGGUUAAUGCUCAGUGACGGGCGUGCCGCUGCCACUCCCAUCAUAUUUCCCCAUUUCUGUAAAAUGUAACUGGAAAAUAGAGAGUGAUUCAACAUUUGGAACUUGUUUUAAUGAAUUGGAUUUGGAGUAGGGCGGAGAUUUAAUGAA